UCGGGUUGUAAAGCACUUUUGUCUGGAAAGAAAUCCUCUGGGUUAAUACCUCGGGGGGAUGACGGUACCGGAAGAAUAAGCACCGGCUAACUACGUGCCAGCAGCCGCGGUAAUACGUAGGGUGCGAGCGUUAAUCGGAAUUACUGGGCGUAAAGCGUGCGCAGGCGGUUCGCUAAGACCGAUGUGAAAUCCCCCGGGCUUAACCUGGGAACUGCAUUGGUGACUGCGAGCUAGAGUGUGCAGAGGGGGGGUAGAAAUUCCACGUGUAGCAGUGAAAUGCGUAGAGAUGUGGAGGAAUACCGAUGGCGAAGGCAGCCCCAUGGGCUAACACUGACGCUCAUGCACGAAAGCGUGGGGAGCAAACAGGAUUAGAUACCCUGGUAGUCCACGCCCUAAACGAUGUCAACUAGUUGUUGGGGAUUCAUUUCCUUAGUAACGUAGCUAACGCGUGAAGUUGACCGCCUGGGGAGUACGGUCGCAAGAUUAAAACUCAAAGGAAUUGACGGGGACCCGCACAAGCGGUGGAUGAUGUGGAUUAAUUCGAUGCAACGCGAAAAACCUUACCUACCCUUGACAUGGACGGAAUCUUGCUG
This 593-nucleotide ribosomal RNA is filed under the name uncultured Burkholderia sp. RNAcentral describes it as "bacterial SSU rRNA". It matches the Rfam family "Bacterial small subunit ribosomal RNA", at positions 418 to 1003 of the family's 1533-position model. The record is from RNAcentral. Lineage: Bacteria; Pseudomonadati; Pseudomonadota; Betaproteobacteria; Burkholderiales; Burkholderiaceae.